CGCGUAGGCCGUGUCAUAAGUCAGUUGUAAAAGCUCUGGGCUUAACCCAGAGCGGCACCUGAAACUGUGAUGCUGGAGGCAUGGAGAGGCAGACAGAAUUCCUGGUGUAGCGGUGAAAUGCGUAGAUAUCAGGAAGAAUACCGGUGGCGAAGGCGGUCUGCUGGCCAUGAACUGACGCUGAAGCGCGAAAGCUAGGGGAGCAAACG
This 206-nucleotide ribosomal RNA is filed under the name uncultured bacterium. RNAcentral describes it as "partial 16S ribosomal RNA". It matches the Rfam family "Bacterial small subunit ribosomal RNA", at positions 568 to 774 of the family's 1533-position model. The record is from RNAcentral.